This 791-nucleotide unclassified non-coding RNA is filed under the name Homalodisca vitripennis (glassy-winged sharpshooter). RNAcentral's name for it is "uMP-CMP kinase 2, mitochondrial-like, transcript variant X2". The record is from RNAcentral. Lineage: Eukaryota; Metazoa; Arthropoda; Insecta; Hemiptera; Cicadellidae.
UAUAGAAUGUUGAUGGGACUAUCUCCGUUCACAAUCAUAUCGGUUAAUGGGUGAGAGAGCUUUGCGAGAUAAGAUGUAAUAAGAACGAACUAAUUUUAAUUCUCGAGGCCGUAAACACCAAUAUAAAAGAUCACUACACAAUCGGCAAUGUUUGUUUUCCUUUAUUUACACCUGGUGGCAGCGUGUUCAUACGUGGUGUGCCAACAACCGCCUGGAUACAUGAGAGACCAAUAUGACACAACCCACACCUCAACAUUCGGUAUAUUCCAUAACUUGCCCGAGAUAUUCAACGUUCUGCAAGAUGUUCCAGAACUGAUGGACAUCCCUCAGGUGCAAGAGCUGCACGAGAAGAUGAAGAACAACCAGUUGGUCCAGUGGCCCAGGGAGACCGCAGAGGGCGCCCCUGAUCGUCGCCCUUUCAUCGUCAUCGAAGGGCAUCAAGGGAUCCGGAAAGUCAGCGACGGCCCGUCUGUUCACCCAGAAGCUGAAUGGUACCUACCUGCGCAGUCCACCCGACUACCUGGCAGGUAUCCGUGGUCUCAUGUCCAUGAAGCCACGACUGGUGCGAAGCGCUUAUCACAGCCUUAACAACUACCUGAUGGCUGAGCUGGUUAAGUCCAUCGUAAAGACUCGUCUAGUCGUCAUGGAUCAGUAUUGGCACGGUCUAACAGCAUUUGCCCUGGCCAAGUUGGCCGGUAUCCGCCAGAACCUACCCAUCCCCGGUUCUCCCAUCUACAACUUCCCUACAGACCUGCUGGUGCCGGACCUGUCCUUCUACAUCGCAGCCAAUG